This 63-nucleotide transfer RNA is filed under the name Radix auricularia. RNAcentral's name for it is "tRNA-Ser". The record is from RNAcentral. Lineage: Eukaryota; Metazoa; Mollusca; Gastropoda; Lymnaeidae.
UUUUUCUUUUUGCCAUAAAAGGAUUUUGAAAAUCUUUAAAGGAAUUUGACUUCCACUUAGUGA